This 2147-nucleotide long non-coding RNA is filed under the name Gossypium barbadense (sea-island cotton). RNAcentral's name for it is "long non-coding RNA (GBAR_LNC019889)". The record is from RNAcentral. Lineage: Eukaryota; Viridiplantae; Streptophyta; Magnoliopsida; Malvales; Malvaceae.
AUAUUUUAAGUAACUCAUAUGAAACACAUAUAGGAAAAUUAAAAUAGGGAGUGAUCAAAUAUUUAUUUUUAUGGUAUAAAGAUUUAUUUGGCUCUCUAACUUAAAAAAAUAAAAAUAAAAUCAUUUUAGCUCUCCAAUUAAUUUUUCAUCUUUUCUAGUCCUUAGACUUGCCUUCUUUUUUCUCAAAUCACACCAAAAUAGAUGGAAAAGUUAAUAUUUUUUAAUUUUGUUGAUGUGAUAUACAUGUGGAUUGCAGCAUGAAUGACACCUCAACAUUUAAUUAAUAUUUUAAUAUUUAAAAAAUUCAAAAAAUUAUUUUUAAAAAUUAAAAAUCAUUAAAUUUAUUUAAAAAUUAUAAAAUAUAUUUUAAAUAUUAAAAAAGUAAUUAAACCUUGACAUGUCAUUACGUGGAUAUGCCACAUCACCAAAAUUAACAAAUGUUAAAUUUUCUAUCUAUUUUAAGGUAAUUUGACUUUUUUUAAAGUUGGAGGGCCAAAAAAGUCACUAUGCCUAUUUUUAUUGAUAUUGCACUUUAAAUUUUUAUUAUAUUUAUUUAUAUAUUAAAAUUAACAUUAAAAUUGAUGUAAUAUAAUGGCGAGUAUUUUAAUUAUAUUUUGAUAAAAAAAUAUUAAAUAAAGUAUAUUGUGAUUUGGUAACAAUGAUUUAACACUAGACUACUUUAGAAAAAGAUAUCUAAAUUGAAAAACUAAGAUAUACAAUUAUUAAAUUUGUAUUUUCUAUCAGUAUUUUAUUAUUUAUCAUGUUACUUUUCACUUGAAUAAUUGUAACAGGCUAAUUUUGGCCGGGCCCAAUAUUAACCAAAUUAAAAAGAGAAACCAAAUAAAAAAUUAAUAAUAGUCCAGUUACAUCAACCUAAAUUUGCCCAGCCCAAUAAACCAAACCCAUUUACGGUGGCCCAGUAUAAACACUGGCCCUAACAGAAACCCUAGCCUCUCUUUAGCCAAACAGAUCGCGCUGGUCCUCCGUCAGCUUCUCCACGCGCGCCGUGCCUUCCACGCACCUCCAGCUGGCCGAACCUGUAACGAACAGAAACAAACAGUAGCAACAAAUGCGAAUAACAACAAAGGGCAAUAUUCUAGGAAAAAAUAAUAGCAGAAUAAGAGAAUAGAUUUUUGAAUAUUUUUCAUUUUUUUUCUCUUCGUUGCGGCUAUAUAAAGCCGAGUACAAAACUGUAAAGGGGGGAUCAAAAGAAAACGGAAAUAAAUAAAAAAAAUCAGGAUAUUUUUCGAAGGUAGAUCCUACUGUUUUUUUUUCAUUCAUAUUUAUUUUCUUUUUUCGUGCUUACUGGCUUUGAAAAGAAGAUAGAAAUUAAAAAAGAGAAUAAGAUAAAAAAAAGGAACCUUCUUUGCUUCACCGGAGGGAGAGGUUCGCCGAUUCUGAUGAAAAUCGGCCCUUUUUUUGGAGUCAGAAAGUCGAAAAGCCCAAAAAAAUGGGUUUCUUUUGAUUUUUCGACCACCGUGUACAGCGGUGCUAUCACCAGCGAUCUGCGGCUGCCACGGUGGUUGGGCGCCGAAACUUGGCCAGAUUUCUGGAGGGUUGAGAGAGAGGGGGAGAGUGUUUUUGAGUUUUUUUUUUGUGAAAAGGGGAUCAAAUGAAGUUUUAAAAAAUUUUGGGCUUAAAUACCUUUAUCAAAACGACGCCAUUUUGAGUUUUAAGUUCAGGGGCCAAAACGGCCUCCUUACCCAUGCGUCAACCUGACCCAGGGGGAGGAUCCUCGUGUUUUGCUUCGAUGGGUUAUUUUCUCCCCUGGCCCUUCCGCAUUUCUGUUAUUUCUAAUUUAGUCUCUUUUGUUUAUUUUCACUUUUUUUUUUAAAUUGACCCCAAAUUUAGUCCCCAACCCACUGAUGCGCUGGAAAGUUGACACGUGUCUAGGGAUUUUUUAUUCAUUUGGUCCUCGGCCUUUUCACGCCUUUCAUUUUAGUCCUUAUUCGUUAAUUUACCCUCGGUUUCACCUUUAAUUUCAUUUUUGUCCUGAUUUAGUCCCAAAAUCUGUUUUAUUUCAAUUUAUUUUUGCAAUUUAUUUAUUUAAAAUUUUUUAUAUUAUUUGUUUUAAAUUAUUUUAUUAUUAUUUAUUUUAAAAUUUUCACAUAUUAUACAUUUUAAACUAUAUUAAACUAUUAUCCGUU